ACACACACAGAGUAAGAAACGGGCAGCAAGCUGGACCGAAAAAGAGAGAAAAAUUAGGAGAAAAAGGGAAGAAAAAGGGAAAGAAGGAAGGAAAGAAAAAAAAAAGGGAAGAAGAGGAAAAGAGGUAAGGCCAAUUUCUUCAAGCUUGAGUUGAAUUUUUCCAUUUUUUUCUAGUGAUAAAGUAUGAAUUAUGUUAAAAUUCUAGGGUUUUAUUUUGGCUCGAAAUUUUCAGAUUUUUUUGAGAGGAAUGCUACUUGGAGCUCAAAUUAUUGAUUCUUGAAUUUCUAUCUACAUUAAGGUAAGGAGAUGUCAAUUUUUUUUUGGGAAACCCUAGAAUUCGAUUUUGGGAUUUUGAUUAAUUAUUUGUGGGAAUGAUUAUAUAAAUGGAAUAUUUCACUUGGGAGUUGAUUUUAUGGAACAAAUAUAUAUUAAAUGGGUGGAAUUGUGGUUACUAGUUUCACUAUAUUGGAGACUAAAAUUAGUUUUAAACUUGGGAAGAAGGUUUUGUUGAUGAAUUAAUUAUUAGAAAAGGGAUUAGAAAGUGGGAUUAGCUCCAAUUGAUCAAAAGAAUAUUUGGGAAAUUCAUUUGAGCAUCGACCAAUUUUAGUUAAGUAUUAUAGAAGUAGAUCUUAAAGUUUCUUAAUUUAAUAGUGGCUGAUUAGUCAUCUUGUUAUAUAUUCCAGGUGGUGACGAGGAGAUUGGAAGAGCCUAUCGACCAUCUUAGGUUCAACUUGUAUUAUGUGAGUAGAUAAGCUUAUUUUUUUAGAAAUAAGUAUUUAUUUAAUUUUGAAGUUACGUAUUUUAUAAGUUGAGUUGAUGGCAUGAUUUUUCAAAAUAAAACGAAUUUUAUUAUCAAAUGUUUUUAAAAUUUAAAUUCAGUUCAGUUAAAUUCUUUCAUUGACAUAUUAUUUCAGUAUAUUCAAAGUUAUUUUAAAACCAUCAGAAAGUAUCCAAGUGAUUUUACCCUCGUCUGCACUAGUGUGAAUGUGUUUCCACAGUGUAUGACUUCAUAUGGUUAUUUUACCCACUCUGCGCUGGUGUGAAUGUGUUUCCACAGCGUAUGAUCAGUAUAGUGAUUUUACCCACUCUGCACUAUUGUGAAUGUGUUUCCAUAGUGUAUGACCAUUUUAUAGCUCUGCGCGCGUACGACCAGAAUUUCAGAAUUGAAUAACCUUGCUUUGUAGAUCGAGAUUAAUCGAUUCACGAGUAUGGUUAUUCCGGGUACAUUUUUGGUGUGAUAUUUCAGUAUCACAUAGCUUAUCAGAUUUUAGAAAUGCAGUAUACAGAAUAAAGAUGUUUAUGAUUACAGUAUAUUUUAAUUUUGAUUGUAUCAUCAGAUUUUAAGCUACAGAACUCAGCCUAUUCAAUUUAAAGAAUAAAUAUUUAGUUUAUAUGUCUGUGAAAAGAAAUUUUAUGCUAUAUGUCGAUUUUAAGAAAGAUUUUAUGAAUGGAAAAUUAUAUUUUUGCAAAUAUCCACUCACUGAGUUAUAGGCUCACAUUUUUAUCACUAUUUCUCUUAUCAGAUAGUAGCUGAGUUGAACACUACUGGGCCAGUUGAUCUAUUAAGUUGAGCCAUAGAUUGUCAAGCAUUGUAUGAACUAUCUUUUCAGUUUAAGAGUUCAUAUUUUGGGAUUUUGGUCAUAAAUUAGUUUCAUGUGUUGGGCUUGCUAUGUUUUGUAUAUAUAUUAUCGAUUUUGGGUACUAUUGAUUAGAAAUUGUUGCAAAAGUCGAAUUGCCAGUGUUGUAUUUGAAUAGUUGAUAUUUUGAGGGGACCGAUGUACCCUAUUUCAAAUGACGUGUACAUGUUUGGGAUAUUUGAUUUUAUUUUCAGGUAGUUUUAGUCCAUUUUUCAGAGGGAACUCUGCUGAAAUUUUAUAAAAUUAUAACAGUCAUAGUAUGUCAAGUUUGCCUUGGUGGUGGGUCCGGCACUUCACUGGUAUCUACCAUCGGCGCACAACACGUGUCGGAUCCAUUAGGGUGAUCGGGACGGGUCGUGUCGAUUGGUAUCAGAGCAUGGUUAUAAAGUCAGUUUGCAUGGUUUAUUUGAAUUUUGUUCUGAUCAUAUCAUACAUAUUUUGUAGUUGGAAGUCAUGGCUCGUGGUAAUAAGAC
This 2110-nucleotide long non-coding RNA is filed under the name Olea europaea (common olive). RNAcentral's name for it is "long non-coding RNA (OEUR_LNC009002)". Lineage: Eukaryota; Viridiplantae; Streptophyta; Magnoliopsida; Lamiales; Oleaceae. The record is from RNAcentral.